GUAUUAUAUAUAAACUCAGAAUAAAUACAUUUUCUGUUCACCCAUACCUGUGGCUGAUGACUGUUUCAAUCGGGAAAGUUACUUUUUAAUGUAGCAGGUUUCAUUCCGAUAUAUCUCAACCGCUCGUUUCAUGUUUAUUAAUUUAGCAGCUGGGAUGAUGGUAUAUACCUUGUAAAUAAAGUGCCUAACAUACUUUUAUUGGUUUUUGUGAAUUAGCUGAGCGCGUUAGUGAAGUAAAUUCCCUUAAUUAUGAAAAGUACUUCUAUUAUUCCUUAUUGGCAUUAUUCUUUUAAUUGGAAACGGAAAACUGAAGAAUUGUAUUACUGUUUAUAGCAUUUUCGGUACUUUCUGGACAAAUUUCGAAUAUACUCGUGUUCAAACCCGAGAAAAAUAUUUUCUAGAUUUUUAUAUUAUCAAAGAACACUAAUUUUAAUUGAGCAUUUCAGGAUUUUUGAAGUUGAUCGUUUAAUUUAUC
Non-coding RNA from Schizosaccharomyces pombe (fission yeast), 475 nucleotides. Lineage: Eukaryota; Fungi; Ascomycota; Schizosaccharomycetes; Schizosaccharomycetales; Schizosaccharomycetaceae. The record is from the annotation of a GenBank genome assembly.